This 442-nucleotide ribosomal RNA is filed under the name Atergatopsis sp. ZRC 1999.0472. Its description in RNAcentral is "partial large subunit ribosomal RNA". The stretch from base 321 to 442 matches the Rfam family "Bacterial large subunit ribosomal RNA", at positions 2475 to 2597 of the family's 2925-position model. Lineage: Eukaryota; Metazoa; Arthropoda; Malacostraca; Decapoda; Xanthidae. The record is from RNAcentral.
GUAGCAUAAUCAUUAGGGGUUUAAUUGGAACCUGGUAUGAAGGGUUGGACAAAGGAAAAACUGUCUUUCUGAUAUAAGUUGAAAUUUACUUUUAAGUGAAAAGGCUUAAAUUAAUCAAAGGGACGAUAAGACCCUAUAAAGCUUUAUAAAUAAUUUAAAUUUAAUUGAUUUAUUAAUUAAAGGUUGAAUUUAACUAUUUUAUUUUGUUGGGGUGAUGUGAGUAUAAGUUAUAUUAACUGCUUAAAAGAAAUUCUAUCAUAAAAGAGUCUAUAGUGUAGAUGAUCCUUUAUAAAGAUUAAAAGACUAAGUUACUUUAGGGGUAACAGCGUUAUUUCUUUUGAGAGUUCAUAUCGAAAAAGAAGAUUGCGACCUCGAUGUUGAAUUAAAAUGUCUAUAUAAUGCAGUCGUUAUAAGAGAGGGUCUGUUCGACCUUUAAAGUUUU